UUCAGCUUCUACAAAUUCUUGAGGUGCAUUUUUCUACUUUUGUGGCAGGAGGAAGGCUACAUGCGGUGUCAACGAGGGUGUCCAAAGGGCUAAUCCUGGAUUUUUUAUGUUAAAAAAUGUAGUAAAACUGGAAAAUGUGUGCUGGUACUUACGAAAGGGCAAAAUCGCGAGUAUCCAAAGGGCUAAUCGAAAGUUUGAUUGCCAUACUGCAACCUUGAGGUUGUCACUGAUAUGAGCAUGCAACAGGCACAGGCAAAGUACUAAUGUUUAUUUGCUGGCUUUAAACCUUACUAGAGGAAUCCCAUUAACCCCUAGAGAGAAGCAAAACCACGCUAAAGAUUCUCAACCCACCCGCACCAUGAAGAACAUGAAAUCUCUGGUGGUCAAGGUAUUGAUGUUUUGAUGAAUGUGGAGCACUCAAGUUGACCUCUGGUUGCCUCAAAGCUGGCCCCUGGCAUGUCCGAUAUGUUUUCCUUUUGUUCACAUGUUUGUGGUAUGGUUUCUUUAUUUGGGGUGGUCAUUUUGGCCCAUUUACUUUUGAAUGGGUCGAUUCGGGUUAUCCUGUCUAACGGGUCACCUAAAGCCUGUAAUUUAUUACAU
This is a long non-coding RNA of Helianthus annuus (common sunflower), 600 nucleotides long. RefSeq lists it as uncharacterized. The record is from RefSeq and is a predicted model, not a curated record. The transcript has 3 exons. Lineage: Eukaryota; Viridiplantae; Streptophyta; Magnoliopsida; Asterales; Asteraceae.